GAUGAACGCUAGCGGCAGGCUUAAUACAUGCAAGUUGAGGGGCAGCAUGAUAUACGCGAGUAUAUUGAUGGCGACCGGCGGACGGGUGAGUAAUAGGUAGGAGACCUACCUCAUACAGGGGGAUAGCAUAGAGAAAUCUGUGGUAAUACCCCAUGAGGUUAUAUGAAUAGAGGCAUAUAAUCAAAGCAUAAGCGAUUAUGCGGUAUGAGAGGGGCCUACUGACCAUUAGCUAGUUGGUGAGGUAAGGGCUCACCAAGGCGAAGAUGGUUAGGGGUUUUGAGAGAGAGACCCCCCACAUUGGAACUGAGAGACGGUCCAGACUCCUACGGGAGGCAGCAGUAGGGAAUAUUGGGCAAUGGGCGAAAGCCUGACCCAGCCAUGCCGCGUGAAGGAAGACGGCCUUAUGGGUUGUAAACUUCUUUACUACGCGAAUAGAGGUUAGUACGAGAUACUAAUAGGAAGGUAGUGUAGUAAAAGCAACGGCUAACUCCGUGCC
This 496-nucleotide ribosomal RNA is filed under the name uncultured bacterium. Its description in RNAcentral is "bacterial SSU rRNA". It matches the Rfam family "Bacterial small subunit ribosomal RNA", at positions 28 to 509 of the family's 1533-position model. The record is from RNAcentral.